Carassius gibelio (silver crucian carp) is the source of this 688-nucleotide long non-coding RNA. RefSeq lists it as uncharacterized. Lineage: Eukaryota; Metazoa; Chordata; Actinopteri; Cypriniformes; Cyprinidae. The transcript has 3 exons. The record is from RefSeq and is a predicted model, not a curated record.
CCUGAUUCUGCCGAGUUCGACGCGUCCCUGGGUCAACAAGGGAGGUGCUUAACGUAAAUUUGAGCAACCAAUCAGAUUACUCACGUCACGUGACAUGUGCCCAGCCUCAGCUUGCGCGCCACUAUUUGAAUUGUGUGCUUUGACGUCGCCUUCAUUUUACAAAGGUUUGAAGAUUUCUCAGUUCUUUGCUUAUAUUUCAAGGAUCACUGGCUGGUAAUAGGACACGCGUGGUCGGACAGUGCUACAACCAUGCCAACUCCGAUACAAACAAUCUUGUUGAAAGGAACCUUAGACUGGAUCUUAUCAGCAUUCUCAACAAGAAGACAGAUGGAUACUUCCAGGUCAUUCAUGAUUUACAGGCAGACAGUUUGAAGAAUGAAAAAUGCUUCUUUGAAGACUGUUUCUGUAGCUGCCCAAUAGGAGUCAGAGGACAUCGCUGUAAACACCUUGUACUUGUACUUACUGAUCAAGUGAACACGAUUCUCAGAAGUUUCCUGAUUUGAAUUAUCAAAUAAACGGACGUGCUAGUGUAAUCAAGCAAAAUAAGCUUUACUCCAUUCUGUGCUUUGACAGAAAAGAGGUACAUGUAAGUGUGCAUAUGAGAAAUUAAGUGCAAGAGACUUGUUUUUUUUUGGUUUUGUUUAUUUUACUAUGUAUUAUUUUAAAACAAUGAAAAAUUAUGUAAUCU